CGAAGGGGGCUAGCGUUGCUCGGAAUUACUGGGCGUAAAGGGCGCGUAGGCGGACAUUUAAGUCAGAGGUGAAAGCCCAGGGCUCAACCUUGGAAUUGCCUUUGAUACUGGAUGUCUUGAGUUCGGGAGAGGUGAGUGGAAUGCCGAGUGUAGAGGUGAAAUUCGUAGAUAUUCGGCGGAACACCAGUGGCGAAGGCGACUCACUGGCCCGAUACUGACGCUGAGGCGCGAAAGCGUGGGGAGCAAACAGGAUUAGAUACCCUGGUAGUCCACGCCGUAAACGAUGAGUGCUAGUUGUCGGCAUGCAUGCAUGUCGGUGACGCAGCUAACGCAUUAAGCACUCCGCCUGGGGAGUACGGUCGCAAGAUUA
RNAcentral lists this ribosomal RNA (370 nucleotides) under uncultured organism. RNAcentral describes it as "bacterial SSU rRNA". It matches the Rfam family "Bacterial small subunit ribosomal RNA", at positions 526 to 896 of the family's 1533-position model. The record is from RNAcentral.